Molecule: ribosomal RNA, 253 nt
Filed under: uncultured bacterium
Lineage: Bacteria
Description: partial 16S ribosomal RNA
Rfam family: Bacterial small subunit ribosomal RNA
Source: RNAcentral
UACGUAGGGUGCAAGCGUUGUCCGGAAUUAUUGGGCGUAAAGAGCUCGUAGGCGGUUCGUCGCGUCGGCUGUGAAAACCCGGAGCUCAACUCCGGGCCUGCAGUCGAUACGGGCGGACUUGAGUGUUGCAGGGGAGACUGGAAUUCCUGGUGUAGCGGUGAAAUGCGCAGAUAUCAGGAGGAACACCGGUGACGAAGGCGGGUCUCUGGGCAACUACUGACGCUGAGGAGCGAAAGCGUGGGGAGCGAACAGG